This 375-nucleotide ribosomal RNA is filed under the name uncultured eukaryote. Its description in RNAcentral is "partial 18S ribosomal RNA". It matches the Rfam family "Eukaryotic small subunit ribosomal RNA", at positions 592 to 976 of the family's 1831-position model. The record is from RNAcentral.
CAAUAGCGUAUAUUUAAGUUGUUGCAGUUAAAAAGCUCGUAGUUGGAUUUCGGUUAAGAGCGACCGGUCCGCCGUUUGGUGUGCACUGGUUGGUUUUAACUUCCUGUAGAGGACGUGCUCUGGGUUUAACGACCUGGACUCGGAGUCUACGUGGUUACUUUGAAAAAAUUAGAGUGUUCAAAGCGGGCUUACGCUUGAAUAUUUCAGCAUGGAAUAACACUAUAGGACUCCUGUCCUAUUUCGUUGGUCUCGGGACGGGAGUAAUGAUUAAGAGGAACAGUUGGGGGCAUUCGUAUUUCAUUGUCAGAGGUGAAAUUCUUGGAUUUAUGAAAGACGAACUUCUGCGAAAGCAUUUGCAAAGGAUGUUUUCAUUAA